RNAcentral lists this ribosomal RNA (886 nucleotides) under Agaricus campestris. Its description in RNAcentral is "eukaryotic LSU rRNA". It matches the Rfam family "Eukaryotic large subunit ribosomal RNA", at positions 64 to 937 of the family's 3401-position model. The record is from RNAcentral. Lineage: Eukaryota; Fungi; Basidiomycota; Agaricomycetes; Agaricales; Agaricaceae.
ACUAACAAGGAUUCCCCUAGUAACUGCGAGUGAAGCGGGAAAAGCUCAAAUUUAAAAUCUGGCGGUCUCUGGCCGUCCGAGUUGUAAUCUAGAGAAGUAAUGCCCGUGCUGGACCGUGUAUAAGUCUCCUGGGAUGGAGCGUCAUAGAGGGUGAGAAUCCCGUCUUUGACACGGACUACCAGUGCAUUGUGGUAUGCUCUCAAAGAGUCGAGUUGUUUGGGAAUGCAGCUCAAAAUGGGUGGUAAAUUCCAUCUAAAGCUAAAUAUUGGCGAGAGACCGAUAGCGAACAAGUACCGUGAGGGAAAGAUGAAAAGAACUUUGGAAAGAGAGUUAAACAGUACGUGAAAUUGCUGAAAGGGAAACGCUUGAAGUCAGUCGCGUUGGCCAGGGAUCAGCCUUGCUUUUGCAUGGUGUACUUUCUGGUUGACGGGUCAGCAUCAAUUUUGACCGCUGGAAAAGGGCCUGGGGAAUGUGGCAGCUUCGGCUGUGUUAUAGCCCCUGGUCGCAUACAGUGGUUGGGAUUGAGGAACUCAGCACGCCGCAAGGCCGGGUUUCGACCACGUUCGUGCUUAGGAUGCUGGCAUAAUGGCUUUAAGCGACCCGUCUUGAAACACGGACCAAGGAGUCUAACAUGCCUGCGAGUAUUUGGGUGGAAAACCCAAGUGCGUAAUGAAAGUGAAAGUUGAGAUCCCUGUCGUGGGGAGCAUCGACGCCCGGACCAGAACUUUUGGGACGGAUCCGCGGUGGAGCAUGUAUGUUGGGACCCGAAAGAUGGUGAACUAUGCCUGAAUAGGGUGAAGCCAGAGGAAACUCUGGUGGAGGCUCGUAGCGAUUCUGACGUGCAAAUCGAUCGUCAAAUUUGGGUAUAGGGGCGAAAGACUAAUCG